This 245-nucleotide ribosomal RNA is filed under the name uncultured bacterium. RNAcentral describes it as "partial small subunit ribosomal RNA". It matches the Rfam family "Bacterial small subunit ribosomal RNA", at positions 26 to 285 of the family's 1533-position model. The record is from RNAcentral.
AGAACGAACGCUGGCGGCAUGCCUAACACAUGCAAGUCGCACGAGAAAGGGGGGCAAUCCCUGAGUACAGUGGCGCACGGGUGAGUAACACGUGAAUAAUCUACCUCCGAGUGGGGAAUAACUGAGAGAAAUCUUAGCUAAUACCGCAUAACACUUACGAGUCAAAGCAGCAAUGCGCUUGGAGAGGAGUUCGCGGCCGAUUAGUUAGUUGGCGGGGUAAUGGCCCACCAAGACGAUGAUCGGUA